GGCAAUUAGGAAGAAAAUUGGAUUUUUCAGCGUCCAGAGGCAGCUGGGAGCUUCAGUGUGCGGUGCAGCAGACACCCUCCCUUCCAACACGCAGGCACCCAGCCCCAGACAGGCAGGGGCUCCCCGGGAGAGGGGAGGAUUGGGGGACAGACCUCUUUCAGGAAGAUAGUAAAUGUAGAACCAGCCCUGAGCAGGGCAGAGAAUUCAGCCCACUGUGGCCUGGAGCACUCAGGUGCCCCUUCAGUACCAUCCAGAGGAUAAAAAUGCCAGCAGGUGGGGACUUGGCCCCUGGAGGCCUGGCCAGUGGGCAGGCAGAACCUGACCAGGCCUGAGGCUGGGUACUGCAGAGAGCCCAGCAGCAAGAAGGGGCCCUAGGGCAAGAGCAGCUUUCCUGAUCAGAAAGCCAGAACCAAGAUCCCAUUUCCCCAGAGGGAAACACUGCCAAAGCCCAUGACCCUGUCACAUGGGGCUACUAAUCAUGGUCACCUCUGCCUGGCAGCUCAGACCAGACCUGGGAGGAAGCUCGGGCUCCCUGAACUGGAGAACUGUGGAUGAUACAGAGCCCCCCUCCCACCUCCUCACUCCAGCCUCUAUCCAUCCCUUAGUUCCCUGAGAGGCCUAAGUACCUCCCUUUCCCCUACCUCAUUUACCUCCCAUGGGCCCUGCAGGGGUAUGUCUUCGGCCAUGCUGUAGAUGAGGACAUGAAAGCGGGGUAACUUCCCACUCUGAAGCUGCCCUGGCUCUCCAGCACUCUCAGGUUUACCUCUAUGAUCCUUUGAAGCUCUUUCCUUUUGGGGUCCAGAUUCCCUUUUCCAGCCCAGCACCACCAGUUCUUUCCCCACACCUUUAGAAACAUUCCCUGAGCACUAUUCCUUCAGGCCUCUUAUCUAGUCUUCUAACAUCCCUGAAAUGUGCUUCCUGUCUCCAAGCUUCCAUUGAUCAAUCUGGGAACUUCUAUUCAUCCGUCUUCUUCCAGCUCAUUUGGCCCCUCAGGAAGAGAGGGUGCUUGCUCCCAGGCCCAUGGAUCACCGAGCGCAGGAACCAUACUCUCCUGGCCUCCCCACAGAAUACCCUCUGUGAAACCUCCUACAUCUAUCUGCCCAUCUAUCAGUGCAGUCUGGCCCAGCCCAAAUAGGUUCUCCAGAAACCACUUGUAAGAUAGCAGGGGCUUAGGGGAAAUGCCUCCGUUCCACACUCCUCCACCCCAACUCCCAACUUGCCAGAGUCCAGAACUGAGGAGUGGGAGUGGAACACAGAGGGGGCCCUUGCUGGCUGGCCC
This 1279-nucleotide long non-coding RNA is filed under the name Marmota monax (woodchuck). The record is from RNAcentral. Lineage: Eukaryota; Metazoa; Chordata; Mammalia; Rodentia; Sciuridae.